GGGUGUUUCGCGCCAAGCGGUGCUUUGUCGGUUCUCUUGUUGGCUUGGAUUGCUUCAUAGAGUGAUUUUCUCUCUGUGGGGUGGUCUAUUGUUGAUUUGAGGGUUGAUAAUGCAAUACGUGUAGGCGCAUGAGUGGUGUUUUGCUUGUGUUGGUUGGUUGGAUCCUUGCUCUGGCAACGACGUCCAUUCUCACAAGCAUCUUCAGUCAUGUCUCUAGAUACAUGCUAUCUCGAGUUCUGUAUUGGUUUCUUGUGUUGUGUACCUUAUGCRAUGGCAAUCUAUAGUCUAAAUGUUACAUUUCGCCUUUUUACUCGUCCCUUUUUGGGUUGAUGUAAGGUGAACCACGAAGUAAUCUCUGUGUCCCACUCUUCUCACAUUGAUUUGUGCUUGUAGUGUGGUGCAUAGGGCAUUUGCUUGAUCUCUUGGAUGCGGUGCAUUAYAUAUGGGCAUGAGGUCUCACGUCCUCUUUCUGCCCGAACAAAAGCUUUCAUCGCUUAGUUGCGAACGAUUGCGAUCCCCGUUUCGAGCCUUUUGGCAAGUACGGUGAUGGCUUCGUUGAGGAAUGC
RNAcentral lists this unclassified non-coding RNA (566 nucleotides) under Oreocarya nubigena. Its description in RNAcentral is "partial external transcribed spacer". Lineage: Eukaryota; Viridiplantae; Streptophyta; Magnoliopsida; Boraginales; Boraginaceae. The record is from RNAcentral.